This 253-nucleotide ribosomal RNA is filed under the name uncultured bacterium. Its description in RNAcentral is "partial 16S ribosomal RNA". It matches the Rfam family "Bacterial small subunit ribosomal RNA", at positions 524 to 776 of the family's 1533-position model. The record is from RNAcentral.
UACGUAGGGUGCGGGCGUUAAUCGGAAUUACUGGGCGUAAAGCGUGCGCAGGCGGCCUCUUAAGUCAGAUGUGAAAUCCCCGGGCUUAACCUGGGAACUGCGUUUGAAACUGGGAGGCUAGAGUGUGGAAGAGGGGGGUGGAAUUCCAGGUGUAGCAGUGAAAUGCGUAGAGAUCUGGAGGAACACCGAUGGCGAAGGCAGCCCCCUGGGCUAACACUGACGCUCAUGCACGAAAGUGUGGGGAGCAAACAGG